AAUACAUAUAAAAUUAGAUUCUAAACGCGUUUCGCCCACAACAGGCUUAUAUUCUACUUGAAGAAGCCUGUUGUGGGCGAAACGCGUUUAGAAUCUAAUUUUAUAUGUAU
Molecule: microRNA precursor, 110 nt
Filed under: Pelobates cultripes (western spadefoot toad)
Lineage: Eukaryota; Metazoa; Chordata; Amphibia; Anura; Pelobatidae
Source: RNAcentral